GUUAGGGUGGCAGAGCUCGGUGAUUGCAUAAAACUUAAACCUUUAUACUCAGAGGUUCAAAUCCUCUCCCUAAUA
RNAcentral lists this transfer RNA (75 nucleotides) under Ursus spelaeus (cave bear). RNAcentral describes it as "transfer RNA-Leu(UUR)". It matches the Rfam family "tRNA". Rfam says of the family: Transfer RNA (tRNA) molecules are approximately 80 nucleotides in length. Their secondary structure includes four short double-helical elements and three loops (D, anti-codon, and T loops). Further hydrogen bonds mediate the characteristic L-shaped molecular structure. tRNAs have two regions of fundamental functional importance: the anti-codon, which is responsible for specific mRNA codon recognition, and the 3' end, to which the tRNAs corresponding amino acid is attached (by aminoacyl-tRNA synthetases). tRNAs cope with the degeneracy of the genetic code in two manners: having more than one tRNA (with a specific anti-codon) for a particular amino acid; and 'wobble' base-pairing, i.e. permitting non-standard base-pairing at the 3rd anti-codon position. Lineage: Eukaryota; Metazoa; Chordata; Mammalia; Carnivora; Ursidae. The record is from RNAcentral.